This 255-nucleotide ribosomal RNA is filed under the name uncultured bacterium. RNAcentral's name for it is "partial 16S ribosomal RNA". It matches the Rfam family "Bacterial small subunit ribosomal RNA", at positions 524 to 776 of the family's 1533-position model. The record is from RNAcentral.
UACGUAGGUGGCAAGCGUUGUCCGGAAUUAUUGGGCGUAAAGCGCGCGCAGGCGGUCCUUUAAGUCUGAUGUGAAAGCCCACGGGCUCAACCGUGGAGGGUCAUUGAAACUGGGGGACUUGAGUGCAGAAGAGGAAAGCGGAAUUCCACCGUGUAGCGGGUGGAAAUGCGUAGAGAAUGUGGAGGAACACCAGUGGCGAAGGCGGCUUCUGGUCUGUAACUGACGCUGAGGCGCGAAAGCGUGGGAGCAAACAGG